AAGCCCAAGAAGCCAGAAUUGGCUUCUGAUAUUAUAACUAAGACUUGCUGCCAAGACAUCAGAAUUACAUCAUAUUUCUGAUUUUGCAUCGUAUAAGUGCACCAUCAAACAGAUAUUUGUUUUUACUCCAGUGACUCAGUAAUUUCACUGUAAUAACGUCCUUAUACGUCUUUAUAGCUUUAUUUAUAAGCAAAGUUUUAUGUUAUUGGAGUUCUGCACUAGGAAAGUUUUGUUCUUUCUUGUUGGGUUUUGUGUGCCUUUUCUCCCAACUGGCGUACACAAAACACGCUUCUCUGGUCACUGCAAGUGUAGAAUUUCAUGAUUCAUUGUCAGUUCUGAAUUGGCAGUUAGCAAAAAUCAAAUGUAAGGAACUUCUGUAAACUUUCUAAUAGAAUGUGGAAAAAAUUGUAAGUGUAUAUUCUGACAUUAAUAUUAAUUAUAACAUAUAAUUGUAAUUUAUCUUUGGCUAGACCUCUUCGUGCUUGCUAUGGUGCUGUACAUACACUAUUUGUGUACUGUAUGUGGACAUACAUGCAUCUGUCAUGCAUGUGAACACUUACUACAUACUAAAUGCAAAAUGUACUACAACUGUGGUACAAAGCAUAAAGAUAGUCCGUAACGAAAUGUAAUUUGUGUUGUAUCACAUUAUGUUUCAAAUUUUGAUAGCAAUGACCUACCCAUCCAGUGCCUGCCGCAUGUUUCUGGAUAGUGUGUUGUAUUGUAUUUUUGAUUGUAGAAGGAAGGAUUAUCUACUGUCGUCGUAAAGGGGGAAGGGCAGACAGUAACAAAAGCAAUUACAUGUGCUGAAAUAGUCAAGAGAAAGAUGCCUACUUUGCACCAGAAUACAAAGAUAAAAUACUCCAAAUUAGAUGAAAUAUGGUCACCAAAGGACAAGACGCUUGGCCUAGAAACAGAGCAGCAAGUUACAACACAAGAUCAUCUACGCUACUCUUCAGUUCUUUAGAUGUCAGUACGAUGAGAAAUCUAUGGUUUUGCGACCUCAAGAAACUGCUGGCAGUGCCAGGCUUAUGUCUUUACUUGCAUAGCAUAGGCGUAAGAUGUCAAAAAUAAUUAUUAUAACAAACCACGCCCUCAGAAACUGAGAGCUAGGCUAGUGCCUAGCUUA
This is a long non-coding RNA of Corticium candelabrum, 1126 nucleotides long. RefSeq lists it as uncharacterized. NCBI's taxonomy places the organism in Eukaryota, Metazoa, Porifera, Homoscleromorpha, Homosclerophorida, Plakinidae. The record is from RefSeq and is a predicted model, not a curated record. The transcript has 3 exons.